Molecule: non-coding RNA, 108 nt
Organism: Acanthosepion pharaonis
Lineage: Eukaryota; Metazoa; Mollusca; Cephalopoda; Sepiida; Sepiidae
Source: the annotation of a GenBank genome assembly
UACGGUCAUAUAGCGUUGAAAUACCGGUUCCCAUACGAUCACCGAAGGUUAGCAACCUAAAGCUUGAUCUAUACCUAGAUGAGUGACCACUUGAGAAUACCAGGUGCU